This is a long non-coding RNA of Limulus polyphemus (Atlantic horseshoe crab), 280 nucleotides long. RefSeq lists it as uncharacterized. NCBI's taxonomy places the organism in Eukaryota, Metazoa, Arthropoda, Merostomata, Xiphosura, Limulidae. The transcript is spliced from 3 exons. The record is from RefSeq and is a predicted model, not a curated record.
UUAUUUGUCUAGGGGUCACCAGUCGUUGGAGACAAUAUGUCUCGUGCUAGCCUACAAGAUUAAAUUUCCUAAUAACUUUUUUCUCUUGCGGGGAAACCAUGAAAGCGCUAGUAUAAACAGAAUCUACGGAUUUUACGACGAGUGUAAAAGAAGGUAUAGCAUCAAACUGUGGAAAACCUUUACGGAUUGUUUCAACUGCCUACCAAUAGCUGCCUUAAUAGAGGGUACAAUAUUCUGUAUGCAUGGUGGCCUCUCACCGGAUUUACUUCAUCUAGAACAG